Molecule: ribosomal RNA, 252 nt
Filed under: uncultured bacterium
Lineage: Bacteria
Description: partial 16S ribosomal RNA
Rfam family: Bacterial small subunit ribosomal RNA
Source: RNAcentral
UUGAACGCUGGCGGCAUGCCUUACACAUGCAAGUCGAACGGUAGAGGGGCAACCCUUGAGAGUGGCGAACGGGUGAGUAAUAUAUCGGAACGUGCCCAGCCGUGGGGGAUAACGCAGCGAAAGCUGCGCUAAUACCGCAUACGAUCUAUGGAUGAAAGCGGGGGAUCGCAAGACCUCGCGCGAUUGGAGCGGCCGAUAUCAGAUUAGGUAGUUGGUGGGGUAAAAGCCCACCAAGCCGACGAUCUGUAGCUG